GCUUGCUCCUGGAUUCAGCGGCGGACGGGUGAGUAAUGCCUAGGAAUCUGCCUGGUAGUGGGGGAUAACGUUCCGAAAGGAACGCUAAUACCGCAUACGUCCUACGGGAGAAAGCAGGGGACCUUCGGGCCUUGCGCUAUCAGAUGAGCCUAGGUCGGAUUAGCUAGUUGGUGAGGUAAUGGCUCACCAAGGCGACGAUCCGUAACUGGUCUGAGAGGAUGAUCAGUCACACUGGAACUGAGACACGGUCCAGACUCCUACGGGAGGCAGCAGUGGGGAAUAUUGGACAAUGGGCGAAAGCCUGAUCCAGCCAUGCCGCGUGUGUGAAGAAGGUCUUCGGAUUGUAAAGCACUUUAAGUUGGGAGGAAGGGCUGUAGGCUAAUAUCCUGCGGUUUUGACGUUACCAACAGAAUAAGCACCGGCUAACUUCGUGCCAGC
RNAcentral lists this ribosomal RNA (438 nucleotides) under bacterium 2611-S5-05A-1. RNAcentral's name for it is "bacterial SSU rRNA". It matches the Rfam family "Bacterial small subunit ribosomal RNA", at positions 78 to 512 of the family's 1533-position model. The record is from RNAcentral.